Long non-coding RNA from Dendroctonus ponderosae (mountain pine beetle), 724 nucleotides. RefSeq lists it as uncharacterized. The transcript has 2 exons. The record is from RefSeq and is a predicted model, not a curated record. Lineage: Eukaryota; Metazoa; Arthropoda; Insecta; Coleoptera; Curculionidae.
CAAUGUACCUACACUGUCAGUUUUUAGCCAUGGGGCUAAAACGUAAUGCUUAUAUAGUUUCCUCCAGGUAACCCAGACGGUUCUCGAAUUCUCCAGCCCAGGUGCGAAAUUUCCCGCUUGUCAGUGUCAUAUUUGACAGUAAAUGGGGCGCAACUGGGGUCCCCAUUUACUGAAAUACCAUCAAUUUCGAUCCUCCAAUUCCAAAUUUGCUGUAAACAAACUACUAGCUACCAACGUUCAAUAACAUGAAUCAAACAGCUUAAGAAGAAGUAAAAGAAAAUCAUUAAUGAGUGUCAUUAAAUAAUAUUAAACAUUUGCCACGAUAUUCGCGAGUAUUGUGUACUGAUGCACUAUUUCUGGCAAGAAAAUUGAGGAUGUGUCCAAGAUCACUCAAUUGAAUCUUACAACUGAGCCACCUCAAGAAGAACUGAAGAGAGAUUAAUAGCCUACCUUGCAGAAAUGGGCUCAAAAAUUAAACUGUCGAGACGUCAAAAUGCAAGAUACCAGAAGGAAAUAAUUAAAGACCAGCAAUAAGAUAAAGGAAAGUAUUUUACAAAAGCAAAUUUCAUAAGUCUUGUGGAACAUAGAAUAAAGAUCGGUGGCCCAAUUUUGAUUUUGCCGCAACAAGUAUUAAAAGGAUAUUCUUAGUUGGUUAAUAUUUUAAGCAACAAUACAAAUACAACAAAUACGCAUCAGAAUAAAAAAUAAAUGAGUAUUACUGAAA